This 572-nucleotide long non-coding RNA is filed under the name Mustela putorius furo (domestic ferret). RNAcentral's name for it is "lncRNA (ENSMPUG00000024134.1)". Lineage: Eukaryota; Metazoa; Chordata; Mammalia; Carnivora; Mustelidae. The record is from RNAcentral.
UAUAGACAGUCUUGGAGAGAGUAUGAAUCAAAGCACCUUGGCUCCUUCUCUGGCUAAGGAGAGGCAGGAAACCCAGGCCAGAACGACCAGAGUUGGCAUCAUUUUGAGUCCUGAAGAAAGAAGCAGAGGAGAAGCAGAAAUGACUACCUCCUUUGAAAGCCAAGCAUGUGGCCUGACAACCUAGAAUUUGGGUCAAACCAUCCAAUUAUGGUAACUGCUUAGAAAUAUCCCUUUUCCUCCCAAACUCUCCCUUUCUUCUCCCACCAACAUAACUACGGUUUCUGUCAGUUCUAAGACAUGGCCCAUGAAUGCACUAAUACCAACGUUCACAUUCACUCCUGUGGCCAAGUGACUUGGUUCUGUCUGGUUAUCAGAUGCAAACUUUGUCAUAGCAGGGACUUAGACUAGACAUUAGGGGAAUAUUGUGGUACCAGAUGGUGUUUCUGAAGAAGGUUGUCCUAUUUUUGCAGUUCUAGGAUUUGACAAUAAAUCUGCCUAGCAGGCCUCAGAUGUGAUUUGGCCUCAAAAUGGUCUCUGUUAAUCCUUGAUGCUGCGUGUAUCUGUCAGGGUCC